Molecule: long non-coding RNA, 710 nt
Organism: Mauremys reevesii (Reeves's turtle)
Lineage: Eukaryota; Metazoa; Chordata; Testudines; Geoemydidae
Exons: 5
Source: RefSeq, a predicted model, not a curated record
UACAAUCCUCUAGCCCUCCUAAUGUUGUGUACGGAGAUGCAUUUAGAGGGAAUCUAAAGUGAUGUAUGCUGUUGAUCCCUUAUGAAACAGUCUAUUGUUAAGGGCUCCCAGCCUGGAACAUAUGCAGUGAUGUUGUCCUGGAGAGCCCAGAACUAGGCCUGAGAAACCUGAACUCUCAUCUACCAAGAAGGAAGCAAGGGAGGGGAGACAAAGUAAUCAGGCCAGAAAGUAACAGACGCUGAGCAUAUAAACAACUUCACUGCGCGCUCCAGUUGAGUCAGUGCCUGUCGGUAAGAGCCUCCCCUCAGAGAAGACACUACAGAAAGGAAUACAUCUAAUUCCAAAUACUUGAGAAGCUGAGACCCCAGAAAGACCACACCAAGAGGUGAUCACAGGACCUCCUUCCAGAGAUGGCCACAAUCUGCAAGAUAUUCCUGCUGUAUGGGUGCCAGCUGCUGUAGGAACCUGCAGAAACCUGGUGUCUACUUGGAAUCCUGGACCAGGAUCACUGAAAACCCCACACAAGAACAAAAGGCUAUAAAUUAUCUCCCUAGUAUAGUAAAGUUAAGACAUUAGGCUGUUAAAAAAUUCUUUUCUCAGCUAAAAAGAGCUGUUCUGGAGUUACUCCUUCCUUUAAAAAGCAUGAUCUGCCCAGUUCCAUAAAUCGAUGAAGGAAUUUUGACUGUUAAACUUAAUUGAUACUGAAUUAA